RNAcentral lists this ribosomal RNA (534 nucleotides) under Salmonella enterica subsp. enterica serovar Enteritidis. RNAcentral describes it as "partial 23S ribosomal RNA". It matches the Rfam family "Bacterial large subunit ribosomal RNA", at positions 38 to 609 of the family's 2925-position model. Lineage: Bacteria; Pseudomonadati; Pseudomonadota; Gammaproteobacteria; Enterobacterales; Enterobacteriaceae. The record is from RNAcentral.
AGUCAGAGGCGAUGAAGGGCGUGCUAAUCUGCGAUAAGCGCCGGUAAGGUGAUAUGAACCGUUAUAACCGGCGAUACCCGAAUGGGGAAACCCAGUGUGACUCGUCACACUAUCAUUAACUGAAUCCAUAGGUUAAUGAGGCGAACCGGGGGAACUGAAACAUCUAAGUACCCCGAGGAAAAGAAAUCAACCGAGAUUCCCCCAGUAGCGGCGAGCGAACGGGGAGGAGCCCAGAGCCUGAAUCAGCAUGUGUGUUAGUGGAAGCGUCUGGAAAGGCGCGCGAUACAGGGUGACAGCCCCGUACACAAAAGCGCAUGUGCUGUGAGCUCGAUGAGUAGGGCGGGACACGUGGUAUCCUGUCUGAAUAUGGGGGGACCAUCCUCCAAGGCUAAAUACUCCUGACUGACCGAUAGUGAACCAGUACCGUGAGGGAAAGGCGAAAAGAACCCCGGCGAGGGGAGUGAAAAAGAACCUGAAACCGUGUACGUACAAGCAGUGGGAGCACAGGUUUACCUGUGUGACUGCGUACCUUUU